This 233-nucleotide ribosomal RNA is filed under the name uncultured Schizophyllum. Its description in RNAcentral is "partial 28S ribosomal RNA". Lineage: Eukaryota; Fungi; Basidiomycota; Agaricomycetes; Agaricales; Schizophyllaceae. The record is from RNAcentral.
ACCUUGCUUUUGCUUGGCGUAUUUCCCGGUGGAUGGGUCAGCAUCAGUUUUGACCGCAGUUGAAAGGCUAGAGGAAUGUGGCACCUUCGGGUGUGUUAUAGCCUCCUGUCAUAUGCUGCGGUUGGGACUGAGGAACUCAGCACGCCGCAAGGCCGGGAUUCGUCCACGUUCGUGCUUAGGAUGCUGGCAUAAUGUCUGUAACCGACCCGUCUUGAAACACGGACCAAGGAGUC